AAUCAAUAUAUUAGCUUUAAUAAAACACAAUUCAUUGGUUUUAAGUUAACCACAAGAGAAGGAAAAGAGUAACAGGAGAAAACAGAUUAAAAGGGGUAAAGGAAGAGAGAAGAAAGAGAGAAGGAGAGAGAGAAAGGAGAGGAGAAUGGCUACCAACAAGAUCCGAUGAUUCACAUGGUGCCAGCUGGAGAGGGAGGAGAGAGAAGGAAGGCUCACGUGGAGUCUCAUGUAUUUACAGAGUUCAGUUUUCCCUCACAGGCAGGAUAUUCAGUCAGUGCCUUCCAGGCCAGAGUGAAUCAUAGAAGCAUAGAAUCAGCUGGGUUGGAAGGGACCUCUGAGAUCAUCAAGUCCAACUGUCGAUCGACGACCACCGUGGUCACUAGACCCUGGCACGGAGUUGUGCUGUAACCAGUCACAGGCUGCAGGGGUGUGGUGUGGGCGGGCUGCCAGGCAGCUCUGCCUUGACUGACAGCCCGGCUGCAGGGCCUUCAGCUCUGCCAUGUGCUCUGCGGGGGCAGCAGGCCUUGCCUUCAGCUCUGCCCUGUGCCCUCAGCACACGCCCUACGUUCAGGCCUUACCACGUUCCUGCAGGUCCAGGCCCAGCCCUUCCCCACACGCACACACACACUCACAGUGAGUUGGUUCUGACCCAUAUCGAUAAUUCAUUGAGGUUCGGAUCCAGGAUCUCACAAUGAGCCAACCAUGUGCUCUCACAGCUCAGAAAAUCAGCUGCGUCCUGGACCACAUCAAAAACAGAGUGACCACCAGGUCGAGGGAGGUGAUUCUGGCCCUCUGCUCUCAUGAGAUCCCAUCUGGAGAACUGCAUCCAAGUCCGGAGCCCUCAGUACAAGAAGGACACAGACAUGUGUAUGAAAAUAUCCCCAGAACCUAUGCAAAGGAAGAGGAGGGACUGUGAUUUUUGCUGCCCUUUCCUUCUCCUCAAAGCUCAGGUUUCUACCUUUCAAUGAAUUAUUGGACAUAUGUGGUUGCUAUGCUUUUCUCCAAAUUAUUUACCCUUUCUCCUGCUUCUGUCUCUCUGUUCCAUAUGAUUUAUUGGGUCACUGGCUUCUCUGUACUGAAAAUGCCACCAGAACCAUCCUAAUUAAAGGACUGAGUCAUGAACAGAAAAGCAAAGUGUAAAAUGAAGAUUUCAGCCCAACAUCCAUAAACAUUGUGGACAGGCAAUUUCUCUGCAAGUAUUUAUAUCAUCACUCCCUGCAUUUUCCAGAAAUAAUUAUUUCUCCUACUUUUGAAUAAUUGUCCUUUCUUAGUAACAGGUUAUCCUCAGGUGUUAAUUAAUGAGAUAAUGCUAAAGAUGGAUUUUUUUCUUCUAGGGUUUUGAAAUAUAUUUUGAAUACAAAGAGAUUUGAGAUGUUUCUUCUUUUAAAACUUGUACUAGGAAAGCCCUAAUGCUCUACUGAUUCAUGAUUUUCACUGGCCUUUAAAUAAAGUAAAAACUCUGCAUACUUUUCUCUUUAACCUGUGUGAAUAUGCACACACAUAUACAAAUAUAUAUACAUCUAUAUUACUCCAAUAGCUAGAUAAUAACAGGUAUAAUAUUCAUAUAAUAAAAUAAUCCAUGGAAAUACUUAUUACUUUAGAAACAGCAGCUUGUGGAAAAUAAUUUUUGAUGCUUUUUAAUGUCUUAAUUUUAUUAGCAUCUCUUGUCUUUACCUGUGCAUUACAGUGUGUUCUUACUAUGAAAUGUAUUCAGGACAAUAUAUCACUUAAAUAUGAAGAAUAUGUAGAUGAUUGAUUUUAUGUGGUCAUGGUGAGAUGAACUCAAACAGAGGGUUAUGCCUUGUAGCUGCAGAAACAUAUUCAUUCUAACACAACUGACCCCAAAAUACAUUCAGCUAAAAUUUGCAGCUGCUUCUUAUUGCUUAAAUUCCAUAGAAAGAUUAUGGUAGAUUGUGCAGUUUUCUCUCCCCCUUUCAAGUAGCAUAAGCAUAGGCUUAAUGCAAACAACUAGUCAAACAGAUGAAUAAAAUAAUAAAUCUUCACUGGAUUAGGAAAUAGUUUUCUCUAUUGCUUUCCUAUUUUUUAUUUUCAGCCAACUGUACAUGUUCAUGUUUUGUCUAUGGAUGAUAGCCUUGGGGGACAAAAAUUGUAGUCUACCAAGACACAGUAGUAGAUCUUGUCUGUGUUUGGAAAGAUUUAUCCAAAGCAAAUGCUAAAAAUGAGAAAAACUCCUUCUAAAACUUUGUCCUCACAUUAAAAUUUUUCUGAUGAAGGGAUGGAAGCUUCUGUUUACAAUCAUCUCCUGUAUAAAAUGAGAGCACUGAGGCCAUUUCCUUUCUCCAUCUUUAAGAAAGAGGAUUCUCAACAUCCUGUAUCAAUUUUUGCUGGUUUUGCACUAUUGUGGUUCUAUACAUCUACCAAUUGCAAGAAGGAAGGAUACUGAUAUGUUGUGAUGAUCUUAAACUUUCCCGUUAUCCUGCUGCCUUCCACUGAAAAGCCAGAAUAACUGCAUUUAAGGAAAUUCUUGAUAGAAAUUUAGUAGAAUAAGCUUGAGUCUAUUUGUCUGACCUGGCUUAAAACUCAAUAUAGGAAAUACAACAUUUAUCCCCUAAAAUGGUAUUUUACUUGUCAUUUCUUAAAUAUAACUCAUAGCUGAA
This is a long non-coding RNA of Pseudopipra pipra, 2618 nucleotides long. RefSeq lists it as uncharacterized. NCBI's taxonomy places the organism in Eukaryota, Metazoa, Chordata, Aves, Passeriformes, Pipridae. The transcript is spliced from 2 exons. The record is from RefSeq and is a predicted model, not a curated record.